AUUGAACGCUGGCGGCAUGCCUUACACAUGCAAGUCGAACGGUAGAGUAGCAAUACUCGAGAGUGGCGAACGGGUGAGUAACAUAUCGGAACGUGCCCAAUCGUGGGGGAUAACGUAGAGAAAUUUACGCUAAUACCGCAUACGAUCUAAGGAUGAAAGCGGGGGAUCGCAAGACCUCGCGCGAUUGGAGCGGCUGAUAUCAGAUUAGGUUGUUGGUGAGGUAAAAGCUCACCAAGCCGACGAUCUGUAGCUGGUUUGAGAGAACGACCAGCCACACUGGGACUGAGACACGGCCCAGACUCCUACGGGAGGCAGCAGU
Molecule: ribosomal RNA, 319 nt
Filed under: uncultured bacterium
Lineage: Bacteria
Description: bacterial SSU rRNA
Rfam family: Bacterial small subunit ribosomal RNA
Source: RNAcentral